This 484-nucleotide ribosomal RNA is filed under the name uncultured Flavobacteriaceae bacterium. RNAcentral's name for it is "bacterial SSU rRNA". It matches the Rfam family "Bacterial small subunit ribosomal RNA", at positions 28 to 505 of the family's 1533-position model. The record is from RNAcentral. Lineage: Bacteria; Pseudomonadati; Bacteroidota; Flavobacteriia; Flavobacteriales; Flavobacteriaceae.
GAUGAACGCUAGCGGCAGGCUUAACACAUGCAAGUCGAGGGGUAACAGGGAUUGCUUGCAAUUUGCUGACGACCGGCGCACGGGUGCGUAACGCGUAUAGAACCUACCUUAAACAUAGGGAUAGCCCAUGGAAACGUGGAUUAAUACCUUAUAGUGUUAUUUAGUUGCAUGAUUAAAUAAUUAAAGAUUUAUCGGUUUAAGAUGGCUAUGCGUUCUAUUAGUUAGUUGGUAAGGUAACGGCUUACCAAGACAUCGAUAGAUAGGGGUCCUGAGAGGGAGAUCCCCCACACUGGUACUGAGACACGGACCAGACUCCUACGGGAGGCAGCAGUGAGGAAUAUUGGUCAAUGGAGGCAACUCUGAACCAGCCAUGCCGCGUGAAGGAUGACUGCCCUAUGGGUUGUAAACUUCUUUUAUAUGGGAAGAACUACAGAUACGUGUAUUUGUUUGACGGUACCAUACGAAUAAGGACCGGCUAACUCCG